RNAcentral lists this ribosomal RNA (467 nucleotides) under uncultured bacterium. Its description in RNAcentral is "partial 16S ribosomal RNA". It matches the Rfam family "Bacterial small subunit ribosomal RNA", at positions 28 to 507 of the family's 1533-position model. The record is from RNAcentral.
GAUGAACGCUGGCGGCGUGCUUAACACAUGCAAGUCGAACGGAAAGGCCGAAGCUUGCUUCGGUACUCGAGUGGCGAACGGGUGAGUAACACGUGGGUGAUCUGCCCUGUACUUCGGGAUAAGCUUGGGAAACUGGGUCUAAUACCGGAUAUGACAAUCUCUUGGAUGGGGUUGUGGAAAGCUUUUGCGGUAUGGGAUGAGCUCGCGGCCUAUCAGCUUGUUGGUGGGGUAAUGGCCUACCAAGGCGUCGACGGGUAGCCGGCCAGAGAGGGUGGACGGCCACAGUGGGACUGAGAUACGGCCCAGACUCCUACGGGAGGCAGCAGUGGGGAAUGUUGAACAAGGGGCGCAAGCCUGAUGCAGCGACGCCGCGUGGGGGAUGACGGCCUUCGGGUUGUAAACUCCUUUCGCAACCGACGAAGCUUUUUGUGACGGUAGGUGGAGAAGAAGCACCGGCUAACUACGUG